UACGGGGGGGGCAAGCGUUGUUCGGAAUUACUGGGCGUAAAGGGCGCGUAGGCGGCCUUCUAAGUCGGACGUGAAAUCCCUCGGCUUAACCGGGGAACUGCGUCCGAUACUGGAGGGCUUGGAUCCGGGAGAGGGAUGCGGAAUUCCAGGUGUAGCGGUGAAAUGCGUAGAUAUCUGGAGGAACACCGGUGGCGAAGGCGGCAUCCUGGACCGGCAUCGACGCUGAGGCGCGAAAGCCAGGGGAGCAAACGGG
Molecule: ribosomal RNA, 253 nt
Filed under: uncultured bacterium
Lineage: Bacteria
Description: partial 16S ribosomal RNA
Rfam family: Bacterial small subunit ribosomal RNA
Source: RNAcentral